RNAcentral lists this ribosomal RNA (305 nucleotides) under uncultured bacterium. RNAcentral's name for it is "bacterial SSU rRNA". It matches the Rfam family "Bacterial small subunit ribosomal RNA", at positions 334 to 636 of the family's 1533-position model. The record is from RNAcentral.
CUUUCCUACGGGGCGCAGCAGUGAGGAAUAUUGGUCAAUGGGAGAGAUCCUGAACCAGCCAAGCCGCGUGAGGGAAGACGGCCCUAUGGGUUGUAAACCUCUUUUGUCGGAGAACAAAACCCGGGACGAGUCCCGGACUGCGUGUAUCCGAAGAAAAAGCAUCGGCUAACUCCGUGCCAGCAGCCGCGGUAAUACGUAGGUGGCAAGCGUUAUCCGGAUUUACUGGGUGUAAAGGGCGUGUAGGCGGGAGAGCAAGUCAGGCGUGAAAUUCCAGGGCUCAACCCUGGAACUGCGUUUGAAACUGG